UACGUAGGGAGCAAGCGUUGUUCGGAUUUACUGGGCGUAAAGGGCGCGUAGGCGGCAAAUUAAGUCAGCUGUGAAAUCUCCGAGCUUAACUCGGAACGGUCAGCUGAUACUGAUCUGCUAGAGUGCGGAAGGGGCAAUCGGAAUUCUUGGUGUAGCGGUGAAAUGCGUAGAUAUCAAGAGGAACACCUGAGGUGAAGACGGGUUGCUGGGCCGACACUGACGCUGAGGAGCGAAAGCGUGGGUAGCGAACAGG
Molecule: ribosomal RNA, 253 nt
Filed under: uncultured bacterium
Lineage: Bacteria
Description: partial 16S ribosomal RNA
Rfam family: Bacterial small subunit ribosomal RNA
Source: RNAcentral